GCCGGGGUGCCUGAGCGGUAAAGGGCACGCCUGGAGAGCGUGUGGCCCAUUGGGCCUCCAGGGUUCAAAUCCCUGCCCCGGCGCCA
RNAcentral lists this transfer RNA (86 nucleotides) under Hadesarchaea archaeon YNP_N21. Its description in RNAcentral is "tRNA-Ser". It matches the Rfam family "tRNA". Rfam says of the family: Transfer RNA (tRNA) molecules are approximately 80 nucleotides in length. Lineage: Archaea; Methanobacteriati; Hadarchaeota (SeqCode); Hadarchaeia (SeqCode). The record is from RNAcentral.